RNAcentral lists this ribosomal RNA (497 nucleotides) under uncultured bacterium. RNAcentral's name for it is "partial 16S ribosomal RNA". It matches the Rfam family "Bacterial small subunit ribosomal RNA", at positions 28 to 507 of the family's 1533-position model. The record is from RNAcentral.
GAUGAACGCUGGCGGCGUGCCUAAUACAUGCAAGUCGAGCGAACAGACGAGGAGUUUGCUCCUCUGACGUAAGCGGCGGACGGGUGAUUAACACGUGGAUAACCUACCUAUAAGACUGGGAGAACUUCGGGAAACCGGAGCUAAUACCGGAUAAUAUAUUGAACCGCAUGGUGCAAUAGUGAAAGACGGUUUUGCGGUCACUUAUAGAUGGAUCCGCGCCGCAUUCGCUAGUUGGUAAGGUAACGGCUUAGCAAGGCGACGAUGCGUAGCCGACCUGAGAGCGUGAUCGGCCACACUGUAACUGAGACACGGUCCCGACUCCUACGGGAGGCAGCAGUAGAGACUCUUACGCAAUGGGCGAAAGCCUGACGGAGCAACGCCGCGUGAAUGAUGAAGGUCUUCGGAUCGUAAAGCUCUGUUAUUAGGGAAGAACAAAUGUGUAAGUAACUAUGCACGUCUUGACGGUACCUAAACAGAAAGCCCCGGCUAACUACGUG